Molecule: ribosomal RNA, 203 nt
Filed under: uncultured Pseudomonas sp.
Lineage: Bacteria; Pseudomonadati; Pseudomonadota; Gammaproteobacteria; Pseudomonadales; Pseudomonadaceae
Description: partial 16S ribosomal RNA
Rfam family: Bacterial small subunit ribosomal RNA
Source: RNAcentral
CGAAAGGAACGCUAAUACCGCAUACGUCCUACGGGAGAAAGCAGGGGACCGUUCGGGCCUUGCGCUAUCAGAUGAGCCUAGGUCGGAUUAGCUAGUUGGUGAGGUAAUGGCUCACCAAGGCGACGAUCCGUAACUGGUCUGAGAGGAUGAUCAGUCACACUGGAACUGAGACACGGUCCAGACUCCUACGGGAGGCAGCAGUC